UGGGGAGUGGUGCAGUGGUAGUCACGCAUGACUCUGGAUCAUGAAACAGAGGUUCGAGUCCUCUCUCCCCAGCCA
RNAcentral lists this transfer RNA (75 nucleotides) under Candidatus Omnitrophica bacterium 4484_213. Its description in RNAcentral is "tRNA-Gln". It matches the Rfam family "tRNA". From Rfam's summary of the family: Transfer RNA (tRNA) molecules are approximately 80 nucleotides in length. Their secondary structure includes four short double-helical elements and three loops (D, anti-codon, and T loops). Further hydrogen bonds mediate the characteristic L-shaped molecular structure. tRNAs have two regions of fundamental functional importance: the anti-codon, which is responsible for specific mRNA codon recognition, and the 3' end, to which the tRNAs corresponding amino acid is attached (by aminoacyl-tRNA synthetases). tRNAs cope with the degeneracy of the genetic code in two manners: having more than one tRNA (with a specific anti-codon) for a particular amino acid; and 'wobble' base-pairing, i.e. permitting non-standard base-pairing at the 3rd anti-codon position. RNAcentral also lists the same sequence under 2 other names. The record is from RNAcentral. Lineage: Bacteria; Pseudomonadati; Candidatus Omnitrophota.